Molecule: ribosomal RNA, 381 nt
Filed under: Triticum aestivum (bread wheat)
Lineage: Eukaryota; Viridiplantae; Streptophyta; Magnoliopsida; Poales; Poaceae
Description: partial small subunit ribosomal RNA
Source: RNAcentral
AUGCUUGCUGUCGGCGAGCCCCGCCGAGUUCCAUCUCCGGGCACGGGACCUCCCCGGCCCCGCGAAAGCGCGCCGGCCACCUGCCGCCACCGGGAACGACGACGACGCCGCCGCAGGAGGCAGCCUCGCCGUGCCCUCUCCUGGAGGCGCUGCGAGCGGCGCGGCGACGAGCGCAAUGGCGCAGAGGAGAGCGCACAGGAGGAGCAGCGGCAGCGCAGGAGCACUCCAUCCUCCCGCGCAUCGAGCUGUUGCCAUGCAAGAAUCCACCAACAGGAGCAGCUCGCCUGCCUUCCUUCCUUCCUCGCUUGUCGCCGCCGGAUCUCACGAGCCUCCACCGACGACCAUGAACGCCGCGCCGGCAAUGCAGCAGGCCAGAGCUAA